Silurus meridionalis is the source of this 406-nucleotide non-coding RNA. The record is from the annotation of a RefSeq genome assembly. Lineage: Eukaryota; Metazoa; Chordata; Actinopteri; Siluriformes; Siluridae.
AGGGUCCCAGAAGCCCGUGUCUCUCAUCCAUCUCUGCAGCUCUCUGAGGACCAACCUCACUGCUCUGCCUGCUGUCUGCCUCUCCACAGGGACAGGUCCCACUGUGAAGCCCGCCGUGUCUCUGCUCCAUCCAUCGUCUCUGCAGCUCUCUGAGGGACCAGCCUCACUGCUCUGCCUGCUGUCUGCCUACUCUCCACAGGGGGCGACGGUGAGCUGGACAGUGGAUGGCUCAGUGGUGAAUGAAGGAGUUCUGACCAGCCCUGAAGAACAGAAGAAGGACGGUUACACGCAGCAGCACCUGACCCUCAGCAAAGCACUCUGGGAAAAGGGGAGGAGUUUGUCUGUACCGUCUCCCAUGACUGUGUCAAUCAUCCUCACGUUCAGAAAGAGCCAGUGUGAAGACUAA